UACGAAGGGAGCUAGCGUUGUUCGGAAUCACUGGGCGUAAAGCGCACGUAGGCGGAUUUGUCAGUCAGGGGUGAAAUCCCGGGGCUCAACCUCGGAACUGCCUUUGAUACAGCAAGUCUUGAGUUCGAAAGAGGUGGGUGGAAUUCCUAGUGUAGAGGUGAAAUUCGUAGAUAUUAGGAAGAACACCGGUGGCGAAGGCGGCCCACUGGCUCGAUACUGACGCUGAGGUGCGAAAGCGUGGGGAGCGAACAGG
This 253-nucleotide ribosomal RNA is filed under the name uncultured bacterium. Its description in RNAcentral is "partial 16S ribosomal RNA". It matches the Rfam family "Bacterial small subunit ribosomal RNA", at positions 524 to 776 of the family's 1533-position model. The record is from RNAcentral.